This 468-nucleotide ribosomal RNA is filed under the name uncultured bacterium. RNAcentral describes it as "partial 16S ribosomal RNA". It matches the Rfam family "Bacterial small subunit ribosomal RNA", at positions 28 to 507 of the family's 1533-position model. The record is from RNAcentral.
GACGAACGCUGGCGGCGUGCUUAACACAUGCAAGUCGAACGGAAAGGCCCUGCUUUUGUGGGGUGCUCGAGUGGCGAACGGGUGAGUAACACGUGAGUAACCUGCCCUUGACUUUGGGAUAACUUCAGGAAACUGGGGCUAAUACCGGAUAGGAGCUCCUGCUGCAUGGUGGGGGUUGGAUAGUUUCGGCGGUUGGGGAUGGACUCGCGGCUUAUCAGCUUGUUGGUGGGGUAGUGGCUUACCAAGGCUUUGACGGGUAGCCGGCCUGAGAGGGUGACCGGCCACAUUGGGACUGAGAUACGGCCCAGACUCCUACGGGAGGCAGCAGUGGGGAAUAUUGCACAAUGGGCGGGAGCCUGAUGCAGCAACGCCGCGUGCGGGAUGACGGCCUUCGGGUUGUAAACCGCUUUCGCCUGUGACGAAGCGUGAGUGACGGUAAUGGGUAAAGAAGCACCGGCUAACUACGUG